This 949-nucleotide non-coding RNA is filed under the name Stigmatogobius pleurostigma. Its description in RNAcentral is "12S ribosomal RNA". It matches the Rfam family "Bacterial small subunit ribosomal RNA". Lineage: Eukaryota; Metazoa; Chordata; Actinopteri; Gobiiformes; Gobiidae. The record is from RNAcentral.
CAAAAGCUUGGUCCUGACUUUAAUGUCAGCUUUGGUUAAAUUUAUACAUGCAAGUAUCCGCAUUCCUGUGAAAAUGCCCUACAUAUUCCCGCCCCCGGAAUAAAGGAGCAGACAUUAGGCACAACUCGAGUUAGCCCAUGAUGCCUUGCUAAGCCACACCCCCAAGGGAAUUCAGCAGUAAUAAACAUUAAGCAAUAAGUGAAAACUUGACUUAGUUAAAACCAAGAGGGCCGGUAAAACUCGUGCCAGCCACCGCGGUUAUACGAGAGGCCCAAGUUGACAGACACCGGCGUAAAAAGUGGCUAAUAUAAUAUUUCACUAAAGAUAAACACCUUCAAAACUGUCAUACGCACUCGAAGGAAGGAAGCUCUUUCACGAAAGUGUCUUUAAAUAAUAUUUCCCCACGAAAGCUAGGACACAAACUGGGAUUAGAUACCCCACUAUGCCUAGCCCUAAACAAAAGUAAGUAAUUACACGUCUUAUUUGCCAGGGAACUACGAGCCCCAGCUUAAAACCCAAAGGACUUGGCGGUGCUUUAGACCCACCUAGAGGAGCCUGUUCUAGAACCGAUAACCCCCGUUCAACCUCACCCUUUCUUGUUUAACCCGCCUAUAUACCGCCGUCGUCAGCUUACCCUAUGAAGGAUAAAUAGUGAGCAAAAUUGGAAAACCCCAAAACGUCAGGUCGAGGUGUAGCGUACGAGAGGGGAAGAAAUGGGCUACAUUUACUGUCUCAGUAAACACGAACAAUACCUUGAAACCAGGCAUUUGAAGGAGGAUUUAGCAGUAAGGGGGGAAUAGAGCGCUCCCCUGAAACUGGCCCUGAAGCGCGCACACACCGCCCGUCACUCUCCCCAAAACACAAUAUACCAGUAAAUAAACAAAGACAUAUACAAAGGGGAGGCAAGUCGUAACAUGGUAAGUGUACCGGAAGGUGCACUUGGAAAAAC